UAAGGUGGUUAUUGCGGCGGGGCUCACCUCUUCCCAUCCCGAACAGAGAAGUUAAGCCCGCCUGCGCAGAUGGUACUGCAUAUUGUGGGAGAGUAUGUCGCCGCCUUUC
RNAcentral lists this ribosomal RNA (109 nucleotides) under Flavobacterium endoglycinae. The record is from RNAcentral. Lineage: Bacteria; Pseudomonadati; Bacteroidota; Flavobacteriia; Flavobacteriales; Flavobacteriaceae.